UACGUAGGGCGCAAGCGUUGUCCGGAUUUAUUGGGCGUAAAGAGCUCGUAGGCGGCUCAGUAAGUCAGGUGUGAAAACUCCAGGCUCAACCUGGAGACGCCACUUGAUACUGCUGUGGCUAGAGUCCGGUAGGGGAGCAUGGAAUUCCUGGUGUAGCGGUGAAAUGCGCAGAUAUCAGGAGGAACACCAGUGGCGAAGGCGGUGCUCUGGGCCGGAACUGACGCUGAGGAGCGAAAGCGUGGGGAGCAAACAGG
This 254-nucleotide ribosomal RNA is filed under the name uncultured bacterium. RNAcentral's name for it is "partial 16S ribosomal RNA". It matches the Rfam family "Bacterial small subunit ribosomal RNA", at positions 524 to 776 of the family's 1533-position model. The record is from RNAcentral.